This 540-nucleotide ribosomal RNA is filed under the name Hyphopichia burtonii. RNAcentral's name for it is "eukaryotic LSU rRNA". It matches the Rfam family "Eukaryotic large subunit ribosomal RNA", at positions 52 to 654 of the family's 3401-position model. The record is from RNAcentral. Lineage: Eukaryota; Fungi; Ascomycota; Pichiomycetes; Serinales; Debaryomycetaceae.
GGAGGAAAAGAAACCAACAGGGAUUGCCUCAGUAACGGCGAGUGAAGCGGCAAAAGCUCAAAUUUGGAAUCUCAGUCUUUCAGGCUGCGAGUUGUAAUUUGAAGACGUAUUUUGAAGUAAGCACAUGUCGAAGUUCCUUGGAACAGGACGUCACAGAGGGUGAGAAUCCCGUGCGAUGUGUUCACUGCUUCAUGUAAAAUGCAGUCGAAGAGUCGAGUUGUUUGGGAAUGCAGCUCUAAGUGGGUGGUAAAUUCCAUCUAAAGCUAAAUAUUGGCGAGAGACCGAUAGCGAACAAGUACAGUGAUGGAAAGAUGAAAAGAACUUUGAAAAGAGAGUGAAAAAGUACGUGAAAUUGUUGAAAGGGAAGGGCUUGAGAUCAGACUCGGGCAACCGGGCCAGCAUGGGGUGGGGGAGUAGGAUAACCCUGCAGGAAAGUGGCUUCGCUUCGGUGGAGUGUUAUAGCCUGUAGCUAUACUGCUACCCUCGCCCGAGGACUGCGGAAACAAGGAUGCUGGCAUAAUGAUCUUAAGCCGCCCGUCU